UGGGUAACCUGCCCAAGAGAUCGGGAUAACACCUGGAAACAGAUGCUAAUACCGGAUAACAACAGAUGAUGCCUAUCAACUGUUUAAAAGAUGGUUCUGCUAUCACUCUUGGAUGGACCUGCGGUGCAUUAGCUAGUUGGUAGGGUAACGGCCUACCAAGGCGAUGAUGCAUAGCCGAGUUUAGAGACUGAUCGGCCACAUUGGAACUGAGACACGGCCCAAACUCCUACGGGAGGCAGCAGGC
Molecule: ribosomal RNA, 244 nt
Filed under: uncultured Lactobacillus sp.
Lineage: Bacteria; Bacillati; Bacillota; Bacilli; Lactobacillales; Lactobacillaceae
Description: partial 16S ribosomal RNA
Rfam family: Bacterial small subunit ribosomal RNA
Source: RNAcentral